RNAcentral lists this ribosomal RNA (886 nucleotides) under uncultured bacterium. RNAcentral's name for it is "bacterial SSU rRNA". It matches the Rfam family "Bacterial small subunit ribosomal RNA", at positions 8 to 853 of the family's 1533-position model. The record is from RNAcentral.
AGAGUUUGAUCAUGGCUCAGGACGAACGCUGGCGGCGUGCCUAAUACAUGCAAGUCGAGCGAGCUUGCCUAGAUGAUUUUAGUGCUUGCACUAAAUGAAACUAGAUACAAGCGAGCGGCGGACGGGUGAGUAACACGUGGGUAACCUACCCAAGAGACUGGGAUAACACCUGGAAACAGAUGCUAAUACCGGAUAACAACACUAGACGCAUGUCUAGAGUUUGAAAGAUGGUUCUGCUAUCACUCUUGGAUGGACCUGCGGUGCAUUAGCUAGUUGGUAAGGUAACGGCUUACCAAGGCAAUGAUGCAUAGCCGAGUUGAGAGACUGAUCGGCCACAUUGGGACUGAGACACGGCCCAAACUCCUACGGGAGGCAGCAGUAGGGAAUCUUCCACAAUGGACGAAAGUCUGAUGGAGCAACGCCGCGUGAGUGAAGAAGGGUUUCGGCUCGUAAAGCUCUGUUGGCAGUGAAGAAAGAUAGAGGUAGUAACUGGCCUUUAUUUGACGGUAAUUACUUAGAAAGUCACGGCUAACUACGUGCCAGCAGCCGCGGUAAUACGUAGGUGGCAAGCGUUGUCCGGAUUUAUUGGGCGUAAAGCGAGUGCAGGCGGUUCAAUAAGUCUGAUGUGAAAGCCUUCGGCUCAACCGGAGAAUUGCAUCAGAAACUGUUGAACUUGAGUGCAGAAGAGGAGAGUGGAACUCCAUGUGUAGCGGUGGAAUGCGUAGAUAUAUGGAAGAACACCAGUGGCGAAGGCGGCUCUCUGGUCUGCAACUGACGCUGAGGCUCGAAAGCAUGGGUAGCGAACAGGAUUAGAUACCCUGGUAGUCCAUGCCGUAAACGAUGAGUGCUAAGUGUUGGGAGGUUUCCGCCUCUCAGUGCUGCAGCU